RNAcentral lists this ribosomal RNA (1286 nucleotides) under Preussia typharum. RNAcentral's name for it is "eukaryotic LSU rRNA". It matches the Rfam family "Eukaryotic large subunit ribosomal RNA", at positions 1 to 1304 of the family's 3401-position model. The record is from RNAcentral. Lineage: Eukaryota; Fungi; Ascomycota; Dothideomycetes; Pleosporales; Sporormiaceae.
AUUUGACCUCGGAUCAGGUAGGGAUACCCGCUGAACUUAAGCAUAUCAAUAAGCGGAGGAAAAGAAACCAACAGGGAUUGCCCUAGUAACGGCGAGUGAAGCGGCAACAGCUCAAAUUUGAAAUCUGGCUCUUUCAGGGUCCGAGUUGUAAUUUGCAGAGGGUGCUUUGGCAAAGGUUGUGGUCUAAGUUCCUUGGAACAGGACGUCACAGAGGGUGAGAAUCCCGUACGUGGCCGCCAACCCGCGCUAUGUAAAGCCCCUUCGACGAGUCGAGUUGUUUGGGAAUGCAGCUCUAAAUGGGAGGUAAAUUUCUUCUAAAGCUAAAUAUUGGCCAGAGACCGAUAGCGCACAAGUAGAGUGAUCGAAAGAUGAAAAGCACUUUGGAAAGAGAGUCAAAAAGCACGUGAAAUUGUUGAAAGGGAAGCGCUUGCAGCCAGACUUGCCUGUAGUUGCUCAUCCGGGCUCUUGCCUGGUGCACUCUUCUAUAGGCAGGCCAGCAUCAGUCUUGGCGGUCGGAUAAAUGCGUGCUAAACGUACCUCUCUUCGGGGAGGACUUAUAGGGCACGCGGCAUACGACCAGCCGGGACUGAGGUCCGCGCAUCUGCUAGGAUGCUGGCGUAAUGGCUGUAAGCGGCCCGUCUUGAAACACGGACCAAGGAGUCUAACAUCUAUGCGAGUGUUUGGGUGUCAAGCCCGAGCGCGUAAUGAAAGUGAACGGAGGUGGGAACCCCUCGGGGUGCACCAUCGACCGAUCCUGAUGUCUUCGGAUGGAUUUGAGUAAGAGCAUAGCUGUUGGGACCCGAAAGAUGGUGAACUAUGCCUGAAUAGGGUGAAGCCAGAGGAAACUCUGGUGGAGGCUCGCAGCGGUUCUGACGUGCAAAUCGAUCGUCAAAUUUGGGCAUAGGGGCGAAAGACUAAUCGAACUAUCUAGUAGCUGGUUCCUGCCGAAGUUUCCCUCAGGAUAGCAGUAACGUUUUCAGUUUUAUGAGGUAAAGCGAAUGAUUAGAGGCCUGGGGGUUGAAACAACCUUCACCUAUUCUCAAACUUUAAAUAUGUAAGAAGUCCUUGUUACUUAAUUGAACGUGGACAUUUGAAUGUAUCGUUACUAGUGGGCCAUUUUUGGUAAGCAGAACUGGCGAUGCGGGAUGAACCGAACGCGGGGUUAAGGUGCCAGAAUGCACGCUCAUCAGACACCACAAAAGGUGUUAGUUCAUCUAGACAGCAGGACGGUGGCCAUGGAAGUCGGAAUCCGCUAAGGAGUGUGUAACAACUCACCUGCCGAAUGA